CUGUAGCUCAGCAGGAUAGAGCAUCAGCCUUCUAAGCUGAGGGCCAGGGGUUCGACUCCCUUCAG
This 65-nucleotide transfer RNA is filed under the name fish gut metagenome. It matches the Rfam family "tRNA", at positions 5 to 66 of the family's 71-position model. From Rfam's summary of the family: Transfer RNA (tRNA) molecules are approximately 80 nucleotides in length. Their secondary structure includes four short double-helical elements and three loops (D, anti-codon, and T loops). The record is from RNAcentral.